This 2670-nucleotide long non-coding RNA is filed under the name Cricetulus griseus (Chinese hamster). Its description in RNAcentral is "lncRNA (ENSCGRG00015041177.1)". The record is from RNAcentral. Lineage: Eukaryota; Metazoa; Chordata; Mammalia; Rodentia; Cricetidae.
GAAUAAAUAAAAGCUUGGCAGUAGGAAUUAAGUUGUUAUAAGGAGAGUGAAGAGAUUCUUAAACCUUGUGUUGUGGACUGGAAUUUAUGGCUCCCUCACCUUCCUCUGCACCCCUUGUAUUCAUCCAGUGAGGAGAGAAGGGCGGGUUCACACUUUAUAUCUGGGCCGUCUGUCCUGGGUAGCAGCCGACUAUGACCAAAGAUGCCUUCGUUGUGCGUGGGUUUUUUAUUUUGCUUUGCUUUUUGUUUUUCCCAUUUCAUUAACCAUUCAACAAAAAGUUUUAAAUGGAAAGCAUUUUGGGAAACACUGCUUGGUUUGUCCAGGACCUUUAGGCUUCAGAGGGAUGCAGCCAGCAUCUCGGGAGAAUUUACAGCAAUCGAGAGAGUCGCAGCCCUUAGAACAGCUCUAGUUAGCAUGUGGACCACUCUGUUGCCCGCCUGUGUGUUCUCACGGAUGGAUGUUCUGCCUUAGUUUUUAAACAACACCUAAUUUUGGAAAUACCUCUGUUGAGGAGCCUCAUAUUUUUUCCAGAAUAUGUCUGCCGUGUAUAUUAAAUUGACUAAACACUCAGAUGGAGGAGCAGAAACUGGCCCCGGAGAGGCUGUUACAGAGAAGGGAGGAGGGGCAGAAAUGGGACCAGUUCUGAAAAUACACUAAAAUUCUGAUUGAAGUACCAGAUCCAGUUCCACAGAGGCUUCUUAGGAACACUCAAACUGUUGAAAAUAAAAUGGAAAAAAAAAAAAGCGAUUACACUCUGGCUCCCAUGUGUAAUUGUUUAAUGAACAUGAUGUGGUCUGUUUCUUCUUCUUGACAUAUGGCUACUGAUGAAGGAAAAUUCUAUUUUGAUUACAGAGUGGCCUUCAGCAAUUGGACACUCUGAGAGAUGACAAACAGGCCACAUCGUUUUCUUCUUGCUCACCAGCCACUUUCUGGCAGUUCUUGACAGGUCGGUCAUAAACACACACACACAAAAUGCUAAGUUAGUGGGUUGCUAGUUGUCUCCUUCAAGUUGAGAAGGCACUUUUUAAAAAUUAAAUUUUCCUUAUGUCUACUUUUUUUCCACAUCCUGAACUCUGACAUUCAAGUGCACUUCACAGAUCGCCUCGUAACAACACUUGAAACCCAAAUUCGGAACGCCCAGUGAAGCCAUUCCUUAGGAAUCUGUGGUGAGGUGCCAGGCUAAGGCCUUAGUGUUCCUGAAACAAGCAUGCUGUAGCUGAUUUUGUGGCUUCACCUAUCCGUCACUGGAGUCUCCUCAUCCAAAGACUUCAAGGAAAACCUGGAGAGUUUGAAGAUCAAGAGGGUGUUGUGGUUGGUAAAACCAGAUGGUUGGAGCAUCACUAGACUGGACCAACAGAAUCAAAUGUCUCUAGAGGUGUGAUGAGCAGCCACUAAGGGCACCAAACAAGGAUGAGCAAUGAUCACUUUGCUGUUUGGAAAGAUGAACAGUAUGGAGAGUGGCUUGGGAAGAUGGAAUCCCCUGCAGAAGCUGAGGGACUAAUGGUAUGUCUACCAGGGUAACAAAGGCAAGCUGGGGCCAUGUAGGUGAGAUAUUCUUAUUCAAGCAAAGUCCAUGGUGAAGAACCUAAGAGACUAGGUGACUUACUUGGCUAGAAACAGUAAGAAAGAGGAUGACACCAAGACUCUGGUUUGUUUCUGAAGAUUCUUUGAUGUUCAAAUAUUGCAUUUUCCCCAACAUAUUCUCAUUCCUCACAGAAUUCUCUCAACACUUUCUGUGGGGAUGAUUCUCAAAUGUGGCUGCUCUGCCUCUUUGCAAAAAUACACAGGUCCCUGUAGAGAUCUUUCCAGUCCUAUUCUGGUGCUCCUGGUGACGAUUCCUCAAGUUCAUUCUCAAUUCCCCCCCUCCUGUUCAUUCUUAAACCUGUUCCCAUUAUCUUUGUCACCAAGGUCACUGUUGACCUUCAUUUUGCUGAACUGCAUAGCCAAGCCUCAGGCCUCAUCUUCUGAUCCCCACUGGAUGCAUCCAAUGCGACCACUCACGCCCUCUUUCCUAGCAGAGUCUUCACUGGCAUCAGACCUCAGGUAUCCUCAGCUGUCUCUAAGUGACUGGAACACUCCAGGGCUCACUUCUUGGGCUUCUUUUUGCUGUAAUUCAAACCCUUGAAAAAUCCCCUACAGUGUCAUGGUUUUGAAUGCCAUCUUUGCCCUGAUGGCUCUCCAGUUCAUCCCUCCAGGACUGUGCUCACUCAGCACCUGCUGUUGGGUGUUAAAUAGACACCUCAGACACAACAUGUCAAAAAGAUUCCCAGUCCCUUUUCCACAGCUGUGAUUCUCUUAAUCCUUCACCCCAUCCAUGCCCCCAUCUCAGUUAAAGGCAACUUGAUUUAUCCAGUCUCUUGCCAAAAAUCUUUGAAGUUAUCUUUCUUCUCUUUCUCUUACAAUGCACAUCUAAAUCUCUCUGGUGCUGGCAAAAUAUAACCAACAUGCAAUCUCCUCUUGCCACAGCUACCACUUCUUCAUCCACUGACUCUUGGCUCUACACAACAGCACUAUACUCCCGACAUCCAUCCCUACACACUCCCUUUUCUAUACUCACUAGUUCCAGUAAACCUUAAAAAAAGCAAUCAGAUGGUGGGGGGGGGGUUCAGUCAGAAGAGUGUAUACCAGCUGGGUGUUGGUGGCGCACGCCUUUAUUGCCAGCACUCAAGA